RNAcentral lists this ribosomal RNA (1491 nucleotides) under metagenome. RNAcentral describes it as "bacterial SSU rRNA". It matches the Rfam family "Bacterial small subunit ribosomal RNA". The record is from RNAcentral.
AGAGUUUGAUCCUGGCUCAGGAUGAACGCUAGCUACAGGCUUAACACAUGCAAGUCGAGGGGCAGCAUGUCGGUUGCUUGCAACCGACGAUGGCGACCGGCGCACGGGUGAGUAACGCGUAUCCAACCUACCCUUGUCCAUCGGAUAACCCGUCGAAAGGCGGCCUAACACGAUAUGCGGUUCUCAGCAGGCAUCUAACGAGAACGAAAUGUGAAGGAGAAGGAUGGGGAUGCGUCUGAUUAGCUUGUUGGCGGGGUAACGGCCCACCAAGGCGACGAUCAGUAGGGGUUCUGAGAGGAAGGUCCCCCACAUUGGAACUGAGACACGGUCCAAACUCCUACGGGAGGCAGCAGUGAGGAAUAUUGGUCAAUGGACGGGAGUCUGAACCAGCCAAGUAGCGUGCAGGACGACGGCCCUAUGGGUUGUAAACUGCUUUUAUAGGGGGAUAAAGUGUGCCACGUGUGGCAUAAUGCAGGUACCCUAUGAAUAAGGACCGGCUAAUUCCGUGCCAGCAGCCGCGGUAAUACGGAAGGUCCGGGCGUUAUCCGGAUUUAUUGGGUUUAAAGGGAGCGUAGGCCGUCUUAUAAGCGUGUUGUGAAAUGUCGGGGCUCAACUUGGGCAUUGCAGCGCGAACUGUGAGACUUGAGUGCGCAGGAAGUAGGCGGAAUUCGUCGUGUAGCGGUGAAAUGCUUAGAUAUGACGAAGAACUCCGAUUGCGAAGGCAGCCUACUGGGCACCAACUGACGCUGAGGCUCGAAAGUGUGGGUAGCAAACAGGAUUAGAUACCCUGGUAGUCCACACCGUAAACGAUGAUUACUAGGUGUUGGAGGAUUGACCCCUUCAGUGCCGCAGUUAACACAAUAAGUAAUCCACCUGGGGAGUACGACCGCAAGGUUGAAACUCAAAGGAAUUGACGGGGGCCCGCACAAGCAGUGGAGUAUGUGGUUUAAUUCGACGCAACGCGAAGAACCUUACCAAGUCUUGACAUCCCUUGACGAUGCUGGAAACAGUGUUUCUCUUCGGAGCAAGGAGACAGGUGGUGCAUGGUUGUCGUCAGCUCGUGUCGUGAGAUGUUGGGUUAAGUCCCGCAACGAGCGCAACCCUUAUGGUCAGUUACUACGCAAGAGGACUCUGGCCAGACUGCCGUUGACAAAACGGAGGAAGGUGGGGAUGACGUCAAAUCAUCAUGCCCUUUAUGACUUGGGCUACACACGUACUACAAUGGCGUUAAACAAAGAGAAGCAAGACCGCGAGGUGGAGCAAAACUCAGAAACAACGUCCCAGUUCGGACUGCAGGCUGCAACUCGCCUGCACGAAGUCGGAAUUGCUAGUAAUCGUGGAUCAGCAUGCCACGGUGGAUACGUUCCCGGGCCUUGUACACACCGCCCGUCACACCAUGAGAGCCGGGGGGACCCGAAGUCGGUAGUCUAACCGCAAGGAGGACGCCGCCGAAGGUAAAACUGGUGAUUGGGGUGAAGUCGUAACAAGGUA